Gossypium arboreum is the source of this 141-nucleotide microRNA precursor. It matches the Rfam family "MIR7502 microRNA precursor family". Lineage: Eukaryota; Viridiplantae; Streptophyta; Magnoliopsida; Malvales; Malvaceae. The record is from Rfam.
AGACAGCUUCAUCUAUUUUUACUGUUAAAAAUUGGCAUGACUAACAGAAUAACCAGACAGCUACACAUGGCGUGCCAUGUGUACCUCAUGCUUCCAUAUAAAGAUCAAUUUUUAACAUUAGAAAUGACGGAGCUUUUAAAA